AUGAAGGGCCCAUCCAUCUCCUGUGGGUCUGCUCUCAAAGUCGCAGGUCUCCAGGGCCUGUUAUCUCUCCGUCUUUUCCCACGGUCUGUUUCGGGGUAUGCAGGACUGUUUUCUGGGACUUCUAGCGGGGCUUCCGCCUUCCUUCCCCGGGGCCCGGGCGUUAGCUGCGGCUCCGUGGCGGUGGCGAUGGCGGGCGCUAGGGCCGCGCGGAAGGGGCCGGGGGGGGGGCGCGCCUCGCCUCGCGCGCGGCAUGCUGGGGGCUGUAGUCUCGGGACUCGGCCGCCGGGUGGCCACGUGCGCCACCGCCCGCCGCGAGGCGCCAUUCCUGGGCCGCCGCCGCCGCCGCCGCCGCGGCCGGCCCCGGCCGCGGCGCUCGAGCCGGGCUUCCGGCAGAGCGAAGCGGCCGGGUUUGAGAGACCCCCGGGUUGCACUGCAGUGGGGAAGCUUGCGCUGGGACUGCAGUGUCUGCGCUGUCUGAGGCUGCCAUGUGCUGCAGGGGCUGGUCUGGGACAACGGAGCUGCUGCCGAGCAUUGCCUGCUGGGAUCAAGACUGUGGUUGCAGCUGCUGAGGAAGUGAGUGGGGUCUGUGUUCAGUGCUGUGGGUCCCGCACGUGCCAGGGGUYGCAGCGCCUGGGGAUGUGCAGGGCAAUGCCACACAAACUGGGGGACCUAGGCCACGCUGAAGGUGGGGGGGAACCUGGGGAAGCCUUGGGAAGGGUCACAGUGGGGGCUGUGUGCGUCUGGGAGUGGUUCGGAGUCRUACCAGACUGGUUGGGGAGGGGAGAGGGGCUAGGAUAGUGUCGGAGCUGAACUGGGUCUGGUCAUGGGGUGCCGGGGGAGCCCUGGACCAGUGUUGGGGAUCAUGGAACUGCAUUCAGGGCUCCACAGUGGCUUGUGGGUCUCAGAGGGUGAGGAGGGACAGCUACACAUGAUAGAUGGCAACUGCACAGGGUUAAAACUUAGAGUGCUGUGUUCUGAGGCAUGCCAGGAGAUGUACCCUUUUGCCGCUCAUCUCCUGGGCAGCCAUUUUAGGCUGCGGGCCCUGUUGGUCUGCAGGGUAUACUGGGCGGUGUGGUCUUCUGACCCUGGGCUUCCAGGCUGUACAAGUCCUAAGGGACCUGUGCUAGGCUGGUGCCAGGUGCAGGUGGGCCGGUGCUGGGCCUGUGCCGGGCUCUAUUGUCUUGAACAAGAGAGUGCCGGGCCGGGGCUGGGUGUGUACGACCCCACACUGGGCCUGUGCUGGCCCCAGGGAAGGCUCGCAUGGGCCCGGGCUGGUGCUGUGCUCGCACGGGCUGGGGCUGGGCUGGGACUGGGCUCGUAUGGGCCUCUAUGGGCUCGUAUGGGGUCAUGCGGGCCUCUUYGGGCUCCCCCACUUCCAACUUAG
This 1384-nucleotide long non-coding RNA is filed under the name Apteryx haastii (Great spotted kiwi). Its description in RNAcentral is "lncRNA (ENSAHAG00000009436.1)". Lineage: Eukaryota; Metazoa; Chordata; Aves; Apterygiformes; Apterygidae. The record is from RNAcentral.